This 400-nucleotide ribosomal RNA is filed under the name uncultured bacterium. RNAcentral's name for it is "bacterial SSU rRNA". It matches the Rfam family "Bacterial small subunit ribosomal RNA", at positions 359 to 776 of the family's 1533-position model. The record is from RNAcentral.
GAAUUUUGCGCAAUGGACGAAAGUCUGACGCAGCAACGCCGCGUGAGGGAUGAAGGCCUUCGGGUUGUAAACCUCUUUUCUCAGGGACGAUGAUGACGGUACCUGCGGAAUAAGUCACGGCCAACUACGUGCCAGCAGCCGCGGUAAUACGUAGGUGGCUAGCGUUGUCCGGAUUUACUGGGCGUAAAGAGCGCGCAGGCGGUCGUUCAAGUCGAGUGUGAAAGCCCCCGGCUCAACUGGGGAGGGUCACUCGAUACUGAUCGACUUGAAGGCGGGAGAGGGAAGCGGAAUUCCCGGUGUAGUGGUGAAAUGCGUAGAUAUCGGGAGGAACACCAGUGGCGAAGGCGGCUUUCUGGCCCGUUCUUGACGCUGAGGCGCGAAAGCUAGGGUAGCAAACGGG